Molecule: ribosomal RNA, 491 nt
Filed under: uncultured bacterium
Lineage: Bacteria
Description: partial 16S ribosomal RNA
Rfam family: Bacterial small subunit ribosomal RNA
Source: RNAcentral
AACGCUGGCGGCGUGCCUAAUACAUGCAAGUAGAACGCUGAAGGAGGAGCUUGCUUCUCUGGAUGAGUUGCGAACGGGUGAGUAACGCGUAGGUAACCUGCCUGGUAGCGGGGGAUAACUAUUGGAAACGAUAGCUAAUACCGCAUAAUAGUAGAUGUUGCAUGACAUUUGCUUAAAAGGUGCAAUUGCAUCACUACCAGAUGGACCUGCGUUGUAUUAGCUAGUUGGUGAGGUAACGGCUCACCAAGGCGACGAUACAUAGCCGACCUGAGAGGGUGAUCGGCCACACUGGGACUGAGACACGGCCCAGACUCCUACGGGAGGCAGCAGUAGGGAAUCUUCGGCAAUGGACGGAAGUCUGACCGAGCAACGCCGCGUGAGUGAAGAAGGUUUUCGGAUCGUAAAGCUCUGUUGUAAGAGAAGAACGAGUGUGAGAGUGGAAAGUUCACACUGUGACGGUAUCUUACCAGAAAGGGACGGCUAACUACGUG